CCUGCUUGCAGCAUGUGGCCUCUGAGUAGAGAAGUUAGUACGUGAGCAUUGCGUCUCUCGGAUUGCUAGAUUUGAAUUUUGAAUGUGACAAUGAGACUGUUGUUUCAAAGCAAUUCCCUAAGUGGCUGUUUGCUCAAGACUUUUGUAGUGUGAACAGAGAUUUGGGGGAGGGGGAGAAGCCAUCUGCUCCAGAAUAGUCUUCGAAUGACACGAUCAAAUGACUGCAGAGCAAACUGGAGGGAGUCCAACAGAAAGUUCCUGUCUGCUGCAUCCAGCCCCAACCAGCACUCGAGCCAUUGUGUUUACAUGGAAGCUCACACACAGGUUUCAAAGGCAAGGCCGUGAUAACCAAGGAUGCAUUCAUGCAGCCUCACUUGCUGGGAAAUGAGUUCACACAUUUGGAGUUUCCAAGGAGAGUACAGAGAAAGGAGCUUGGAAAGAAGAUGCUCUACAGGGACUUUAAUAUGACAGGCUGGGCAUACAAAACCAUUGAGGAUGAGGACUUGAAGUUCCCCCUUAUAUAUGGAGAAGGCAAGAAGGCCCGGGUAAUGGCAACUAUUGGAGUGACCAGGGGACUUGGGGACCAUGACCUGAAGGUGCAUGACUCCAACAUCUACAUUAAACCAUUCCUGUCUUCAGCUCCAGAGGUAAGAAUCUACGAUCUUUCAAAAUAUGAUCAUGGAUCAGAUGAUGUGCUGAUCUUGGCCACUGAUGGACUCUGGGACGUUUUAUCAAAUGAAGAAGUAGCAGAAGCAAUCACUCAGUUUCUUCCUAACUGUGAUCCAGAUGAUCCUCACAGGUACACACUGGCAGCUCAGGACCUGGUGAUGCGUGCCCGGGGUGUGCUGAAGGACAGAGGAUG
This 862-nucleotide small RNA is filed under the name Pan troglodytes (chimpanzee). Its description in RNAcentral is "processed transcript". The record is from RNAcentral. Lineage: Eukaryota; Metazoa; Chordata; Mammalia; Primates; Hominidae.